Styela clava is the source of this 1518-nucleotide non-coding RNA. Lineage: Eukaryota; Metazoa; Chordata; Ascidiacea; Stolidobranchia; Styelidae. The record is from RefSeq and is a predicted model, not a curated record.
AGCCCCGAGGCAGACUUAGUGAAGGUGUGGCGUUUGUUUCUUUUCAGCGUAUCAGUUACCAUACUUUACUCCAUUCUGGCAAUAUAAUUUAUACGUACUUUCACUGCUUUUGUGCUACUGUUGAUUUGGUCGCAUAUUUUCGAAAGAACUUCAAGGGAAGUAUCGAAGUCAUGUCUGCACAGAUGUCUAAUCAUAUUUCUCAACUUCGGCGACAAAUCGAAGAAUUAAAUUGUCAUAUGAACAUAAGACGAACGAUGGUUUCUGAUGCAUCGCAGCAGUUGAUGCAAUUUGUUGUUGAGAAUGAACAGCGGGAUUAUCUUGUUGUUAAACCUCCAGACAACCCGUUCAAACCCAAAAGUACAUGUCCGUUAUUAUAGAUGAUCUUUUCUGGAAAGAAACUUUUUACAACUACACUAAUUUAUCAGACUUUGUAUUUGCGAGGGGUUGGACGUGGUAGAGUAUCUUAAAGUUGUUGAAUUGCAGUUGACAUUGUUUUUUUGAUUGUUUAUACCUGAAGCUCUUUUAUCUCAAUCAUGUCAUUUUCUGUUAGAAGGUAAUCUUUUGUAUUUUGUUACCUUUUUCAUGGUUUAGAAUGGACUGUACUUUUAUGAGGCCUUUUUCUUUUUACCUGUGAUGUGUCGCGGUACUUUAAUAUAGUAUGUUUGUUGCCUUUCCCAAACUAUUUUGACAGUUCUAUUGGAUGGUUUAGCUGAUGUUGUUGAAAUGAAUCGAUGGUUCCCAUCAGCAUGAGUACUGUUCAGUAUUAUAGGCAUGGCAUUUGUAAUUUAUGAAUACAUGCUGGGAUAGCCAAAAUAGUAGUCUCGUCAGGUGAUGGUGUCAGGUUUCAGUCCCUUUUUUUUUGCAGCUACACAACAAUACAAUAAUGAAUUUUCUGUAAUAGUCAUGGUUACCAUAUUUUACGGACCUUCGGGCACACUGAAUUAAUUGCUUAGAUUGGGUCUUUAUUCAUACAAGAGGCGCAUCAGGCUAUAAGACUCAACGUUUUUGAAGCAAUGCUUGAGCUGGUUUUGAGGGCAGGCAAUGAAGCACUACCUGAUCCAUACAUUAGGCGCACAAUCGAUUUUUGAGCAAAAAGGGAUUUAAAGUGCGCCUUAUGGUCUGUAAAAUAAGGUUCUGUCAGUCUUGAUCAUACAUUUUACUCUCGAUAUUGUGGAGACCGUUUAUAUAUUUACUGUGUUGUAUAAUAUUUUAUAUGAAGUGUUUUGAACUUUGAAGUCAAUUCACUUAGUUUUGCAACCCUCAUGAAGAUGUGUUAUAUCCAGAAGAUGAGUUGCUCUGACAAACUGAGAAAAUUUGGACAAUAUGGGGAUCGUAAAGGAAGGGGCUGGUUGAAUUUUAAUUUUGAAGUGAGUGCCACUAGUCUAGUGACAAUACCUACCAAUUUAUUGUAUCUUGGAAAAUUGGAGUGUGCCAAUUACAAUGCAAUUGCGUACUGUUGAGGAAAACAUCCAGUGUUUGUGUAUUUUAUCAUAUAUAAUAAAAGUACAUCUAUGUUUC